AUGAACGCUGGCGGCGUGCCUAAUACAUGCAAGUCGAGCGAACAGACGAGGAGCUUGCUCCUCUGACGUUAGCGGCGGACGGGUGAGUAACACGUGGAUAACCUACCUAUAAGACUGGGAUAACUUCGGGAAACCGGAGCUAAUACCGGAUAAUAUAUUGAACCGCAUGGUACAAUAGUGAAAGACGGUUUUGCUGUCACUUAUAGAUGGAUCCGCGCCGCAUUAGCUAGUUGGUAAGGUAACGGCUUACCAAGGCAACGAUGCGUAGCCGACCUGAGAGGGUGAUCGGCCACACUGGAACUGAGACACGGUCCAGACUCCUACGGGAGGCAGCAGUAGGGAAUCUUCCGCAAUGGGCGAAAGCCUGACGGAGCAACGCCGCGUGAGUGAUGAAGGUCUUCGGAUCGUAAAACUCUGUUAUUAGGGAAGAACAAAUGUGUAAGUAACUAUGCACGUCUUGACGGUACUUAAUCAGAAAGCCACGGCUAACUACGUG
RNAcentral lists this ribosomal RNA (496 nucleotides) under uncultured bacterium. RNAcentral's name for it is "partial 16S ribosomal RNA". It matches the Rfam family "Bacterial small subunit ribosomal RNA", at positions 29 to 507 of the family's 1533-position model. The record is from RNAcentral.